GGCCUAACACAUGCAAGUCGAGGGGUAUAGUUCUUCGGAGCUAGAGACCGGCGCACGGGUGCGUAACGCGUAUGCAAUCUACCUUUCACAGAGGGAUAGCCCAGAGAAAUUUGGAUUAAUACCUCAUGGUAUAUAGACCUGGCAUCAGGAUUAUAUUAAAGUCACAACGGUGAAAGAUGAGCAUGCGUCCCAUUAGCUAGUUGGUAAGGUAACGGCUUACCAAGGCUACGAUGGGUAGGGGUCCUGAGAGGGAGAUCCCCCACACUGGUACUGAGACACGGACCAGACUCCUACGGGAGGCAGCAGUGAGGAAUAUUGGACAAUGGGCGCAAGCCUGAUCCAGCCAUGCCGCGUGCAGGAUGACGGUCCUAUGGAUUGUAAACUGCUUUUGUACGAGAAGAAACACUGAUUCGUGAAUCAGCUUGACGGUAUCGUAAGAAUAAGGAUCGG
This 450-nucleotide ribosomal RNA is filed under the name uncultured bacterium. RNAcentral's name for it is "bacterial SSU rRNA". It matches the Rfam family "Bacterial small subunit ribosomal RNA", at positions 45 to 496 of the family's 1533-position model. The record is from RNAcentral.